RNAcentral lists this ribosomal RNA (452 nucleotides) under uncultured bacterium. Its description in RNAcentral is "bacterial SSU rRNA". It matches the Rfam family "Bacterial small subunit ribosomal RNA", at positions 29 to 524 of the family's 1533-position model. The record is from RNAcentral.
AACGAACGCUGGCGGCAGGCUUAACACAUGCAAGUCGAACGGGCACCUUCGGGUGUCAGUGGCAGACGGGUGAGUAACGCGUGGGAACGUACCCUUCGGUUCGGAAUAACCCAGGGAAACUUGGGCUAGCACCGGAUACGUCCGCAAGGAGAAAGAUUUAUCGCCGAAGGAUCGGCCCGCGUCGGAUUAGCUAGUUGGUGGGGUAAUGGCCCACCAAGGCGACGAUCCGUAGCUGGUCUGAGAGGAUGAUCAGCCACACUGGGACUGAGACACGGCCCAGACUCCUACGGGAGGCAGCAGUGGGGAAUAUUGGACAAUGGGCGAAAGCCUGAUCCAGCCAUGCCGCGUGAGUGAAGAAGGCCUUAGGGUUGUAAAGCUCUUUCAGCGGGGAAGAUAAUGACGGUACCCGCAGAAGAAGUCCCGGCUAACUUCGUGCCAGCCGCCGCGGUAAC